GCGGCCCGAGCGCGGCCCCGCUCGGCUCCUGUGCGGCUGCCGCGGAGCCGGGGCCGGGCACGAUGGCGGCAGGGCCGGGGCCGUGGCUGCUGGCCUUGGCCUUGGCCGUGUGGCCCGCAGGGCUCCGGGCACAGCUGAGGCUGCAAGAGGCCGGCGGAGGGCUGCGAGCGGCCGGGGACUCCGUCACCCUGUCCUGCCGCGGGUCCGGAUUCACCUUUAGAGAUUAUGGAAUUUGGUGGUACCGUCAGGCUCCCGGAGGCAGCCUGGAGUGGGUGUCCGUUAUUAGUUAUGAUCCGACAGUCUUUUAUUUUAGCCAGUCAGUGCAGGGGCGGGCCACGAUUUUCCGAGACAAUUCCCGGUCCGAGGCUUAUCUCUCCCUGCGGAGCCUGCAUCCCAGCGACUCUGCCCGGUACUUCUGCGCUGUUCCCACGGGGACAGGAAACCCAGCUGAGCUUUAACACAAACCAGCUCGGGUCUGGCUCAGCACCCACGAAAUUUGGGGACGGUGAAUUCCAAAGUGGUUCAGGGCUGUUCCUAAGGAAGCCGGGGCCAUCCCCACUCGCAAGAGAUCCUGGCCUUUCAUGAAGAGCUCUUUUCCCAACACUGAGGCUUUCCUUCUCCUGAGUCCCAAUUGCAAUGUUCUGUUCUGUAGAAGAGGAUUAGGUUUUUCUGUCAUCCAGUGGGCCUGGUGACUGCCUGGCUCCAGUCCCACUCUGCCUUCCUUGGUCCCCUUCUUAAAUGGAACAUGCAAAUCACCUGGGCUUUGGCAACCCCUUUGCCAGCUUCCUUUAACCCUUGUGGGAGUCAUCUCCUUGCACCACUGAGAGCAAAGCAGUGAUGCAGUGGGCCUGAUUUUCAUUCAGGUGCAUUUCGAGGUGAUGAGAUCCAAGCAAGAAGCUCUGCAGUGUGGUGGCCAGCAGGGAACACUGGGACCCUCCAUUGCACUUACAGCCCCAAACCUCCUGUAUUUACAUGGCCUGGUAUCUGCAGCAUCCUGGUGAGCCCCUGCAGUAGCUGCUGCAGUGCCAGGGCCAUGGAGGCUCCUGCAGCCACACAGCCCCUUUUGCCCAUAGGAGCUUUUCCUGCCAGGCUGACCACAGCUCUGGGACUCUGACCAUCAGCAGGCUGGAGCUGGGAGACAGUGCACUCAAUUACUGCACCCUGGAGGGACCACAGCGAGAGACACUUGGGGUGUGCCUGAAGUACACCAGCUUCCUCCCCUCCUGCGUGUUCACAUGGGUCCCAGCCCAUGCAAGGGGAGAGUCAUGAGGGGGCUGUGCCUGGGGUCAGAGAA
Molecule: non-coding RNA, 1294 nt
Organism: Prinia subflava (tawny-flanked prinia)
Lineage: Eukaryota; Metazoa; Chordata; Aves; Passeriformes; Cisticolidae
Source: the annotation of a RefSeq genome assembly